UACGUAGGGUGCAAGCGUUGUCCGGAAUUAUUGGGCGUAAAAGAGCUCGUAGGCGGUCUGUCGCGUCUGCUGUGAAAACUCAGGGCUUAACCCUGAGCCUGCAGUGGGUACGGGCAGACUAGAGUGUGGUAGGGGAGAUCGGAAUUCCUGGUGUAGCGGUGGAAUGCGCAGAUAUCAGGAGGAACACCGGUGGCGAAGGCGGCUUCCUGGGACCGAUUACUGACGCUGAGGCGCGAAAGCUAGGGGAGCAAACGGG
Molecule: ribosomal RNA, 256 nt
Filed under: uncultured bacterium
Lineage: Bacteria
Description: partial 16S ribosomal RNA
Rfam family: Bacterial small subunit ribosomal RNA
Source: RNAcentral